UGAGGAAUCUUGCGCAAUGGGCGAAAGCCUGACGCAGCGACGCCGCGUGAGGGAUGAAGGCCUUCGGGUCGUAAACCUCUGUCAGGGGGGGAGAACCCGCAUCCGGUGAAUAGCCGGAAGCGCUGACGGUACCCCCAGAGGAAGCACCGGCUAACUCCGUGCCAGCAGCCGCGGUAAGACGGAGGGUGCAAACGUUGUUCGGAAUCACUGGGCGUAAAGGGCGCGUAGGCGGAUCUGUAAGUCGGGAGUGAAAUCUCGGGGCUCAACCCCGAGCCUGCUUCCGAAACUGCAAGUCUUGAGGACUGGAGAGGAAAGUGGAAUUCCCGGUGUAGCGGUGGAAUGCGUAGAUAUCGGGAGGAACAUCGGUGGCGAAGGCGACUUUCUGGACAGUUCCUGACGCAGAGGCGCGAAAGCUAGGGGAGCAAACAG
RNAcentral lists this ribosomal RNA (429 nucleotides) under uncultured bacterium. RNAcentral's name for it is "bacterial SSU rRNA". It matches the Rfam family "Bacterial small subunit ribosomal RNA", at positions 355 to 775 of the family's 1533-position model. The record is from RNAcentral.